GACGUAGGGGGCCAGCGUUGUUCGGAAUUACUGGGUGUAAAGGGUUCGUAGGCGGUGUGGCCAGUCGGGAGUGAAAUCUCUGGGCUCAACCCAGAGACUGCUUCCGAAACUGCUGUGCUUGAGUGUGAGAGAGGCUCGUGGAAUUGCAGGUGUAGCGGUGAAAUGCGUAGAUAUCUGCAGGAACACCCGUGGCGAAAGCGGCGAGCUGGAUCACUACUGACGCUGAGGAACGAAAGCUAGGGGAGCAAACAGG
RNAcentral lists this ribosomal RNA (253 nucleotides) under uncultured bacterium. RNAcentral's name for it is "partial 16S ribosomal RNA". It matches the Rfam family "Bacterial small subunit ribosomal RNA", at positions 524 to 776 of the family's 1533-position model. The record is from RNAcentral.